This 1399-nucleotide long non-coding RNA is filed under the name Sorghum bicolor (sorghum). Its description in RNAcentral is "long non-coding RNA (SBIC_LNC002391)". The record is from RNAcentral. Lineage: Eukaryota; Viridiplantae; Streptophyta; Magnoliopsida; Poales; Poaceae.
CCUGUAUGCACACGCACGCAGCCAUGUUACUGUUAGUUAGACAGGCUUCCCAACUGAAUGAGUUGAAUCAAGAAGGUUCCUACCACACCACCAAGUCAACAAAAUGGCUAGAAUUCCACGGUAAUAUAGAAUUUGAUAAAGUAUAUGCAUGCCCUCGUGGUCGUGAGUGGGCACGGUUGGUUAGGUUCAUGGACCCAACCCAACCCAAUAUGAGGACUAAUAAACUAGUCUAUGAUUGGCAUGCAUGCCAUGCUGAGGGCCCUCAAUUCCAACUAACAUGAAGCAGCCAACAAAGGCCUUGUUUAGUUGGCAAAAACUUUUGUUUUUGGCUACUGUAGCAUUUCGUUUUUAUUUGACAAACAUUAUCCAAUCACGAAGUAACUAGGCUCAAAAGAUUCAUCUCACAAAUUACAGGUAAACUGUGCAGUUAGUUUUUAUUUUCCUUUAUAUUUAAUGCUCCAUACAUGCGACCAAAGAUUCGAUGUGACGGAAAAUCUUGAAAUUUUUUACGAAAAGUACAAACCAAAUGAUCGAUCCAUGUAACCACUUUUUAAUUGAGAGACACAGAAAAAGCUUUUACUUGCAUAUGCAUGUUGAAAAAAAAAAGAGGCUAUAAACGUGAAGCCGUACUCCUUUUCCAUCACUCUCUGUCGCUCUCGGUGUAUAUGUAAUAUGUGUGUUUGUGGUUGGUUGCGCGGAUCCUAAGCUUUCGGGCUUGCGCGGAAAGCAAAGCAACCAAGGCACGUGUAGCGGGGAGAGCCCCAUUUUUUCUUUUUCGUUGAUUGAGUCAGGACUCAGGAGGUGACUAGUGCGGUUCACCAACUCGUCAUGCGAUUUUCUAUCCUCAUCAAAACCUACCCCGCCUUGUUUCUAUUAAGGCCUUAUUUAGUUCCUUAUCGAAAUUUUUUCGAAACACUACCAUUUUCAUUUGUAUUUGAAAAUUAUUGUCCAAUUAUGGACUAACUAGGCUCAAAAGAUUCGUCUCGCGAAUUACAGAUAAACUGUGUAAUUAGUUUUUGAUUUCGUCUACAUUUAACGCUUGAUGCAUAUGUUCAAAAAUUCGAUGUAAUAGAAAAUCUUGAAAAGUUUUUGGAUUUUUGGUGGAAGUAAACAAGGCCUAACCUGUUGUGGACAAUGACAAGUUGUUACGUACUCCUUAACCCCGUGCGGUUUUUUUAGUUACGUGUCAAAUACAAUUGCCAAAUGCAAGCCUAAUACAAAACGAGCGUAGACAACGAUGCCAUGAUUUGGUCAUCUGGUUUGUCCGCUUCGGUUCAAGAGUUUGGUGGAUGGAGGCCUCCCAAAAGUCCAACUCGAUCACCAAAUUGAAAGAGUUUGUUGAUUCGUCCUUGUCCACUGGUUGAUGCCAUUAUUGAUUGUGAUUCGGGACGCAAGCUAG